UACAGAGGGUGCAAGCGUUAAUCGGAAUUACUGGGCGUAAAGCGUGCGUAGACGGUUACAUAAGUCGGGUGUGAAAGCCCCGGGCUCAACCUGGGAAUUGCAUUCGAGACUGCGUAGCUAGGGUGCGGAAGAGGGAAGCGGAAUUUCCGGUGUAGCGGUGAAAUGCGUAGAUAUCGUGAGGAACACCAGAGGCGAAGGCGGCUACCUGGACAAUUGCUGACGCUCAGGCACGAAAGCGUGGGAGCAAACAGGG
RNAcentral lists this ribosomal RNA (253 nucleotides) under uncultured bacterium. RNAcentral describes it as "partial 16S ribosomal RNA". It matches the Rfam family "Bacterial small subunit ribosomal RNA", at positions 524 to 777 of the family's 1533-position model. The record is from RNAcentral.